UACGGAGGGUGCAAGCGUUAUCCGGAUUUACUGGGUUUAAAGGGUGUGUAGGCGGGCUAUUAAGUCAGUGGUGAAAUCUCCGAGCUUAACUUGGAAACUGCCGUUGAUACUAUCUGUCUUGAAUAUUGUGGAGGUGAGCGGAAUAUGUCAUGUAGCGGUGAAAUGCUUAGAUAUGACAUAGAACACCAAUUGCGAAGGCAGCUCACUACACAAUCAUUGACUCUGAGGCACGAAAGCGUGGGGAUCAAACAGG
Molecule: ribosomal RNA, 253 nt
Filed under: uncultured bacterium
Lineage: Bacteria
Description: partial 16S ribosomal RNA
Rfam family: Bacterial small subunit ribosomal RNA
Source: RNAcentral